CCUACGGGAGGCAGCAGUGGGGAAUAUUGGACAAUGGGGGCAACCCUGAUCCAGCCAUGCCGCGUGUGUGAAGAAGGCCCUCGGGUUGUAAAGCACUUUCAGUGAGGAAGAACGCCUGGUGGUUAAUACCCAUCAGGAAAGACAUCACUCACAGAAGAAGCACCGGCUAACUCCGUGCCAGCAGCCGCGGUAAUACGGAGGGUGCGAGCGUUAAUCGGAAUUACUGGGCGUAAAGCGCGCGUAGGUGGCUUGAUAAGCCGGUUGUGAAAGCCCCGGGCUCAACCUGGGAACGGCAUCCGGAACUGUCAAGCUAGAGUGCAGGAGAGGAAGGUAGAAUUCCCGGUGUAGCGGUGAAAUGCGUAGAGAUCGGGAGGAAUACCAGUGGCGAAGGCGGCCUUCUGGACUGACACUGACACUGAGGUGCGAAAGCGUGGGUAGCAAACAGGAUUAGUACCCUGGUAGUC
This 464-nucleotide ribosomal RNA is filed under the name Vreelandella stevensii. RNAcentral describes it as "partial 16S ribosomal RNA". It matches the Rfam family "Bacterial small subunit ribosomal RNA", at positions 338 to 795 of the family's 1533-position model. Lineage: Bacteria; Pseudomonadati; Pseudomonadota; Gammaproteobacteria; Oceanospirillales; Halomonadaceae. The record is from RNAcentral.